AUUGCCCUGUACAGUACAUAAACUGCCACGGAAGGACUGCCCUUGUUUGUUUCCCUAUCAUCUCCAUAGGUUUCCUGUGAAUGAAGAUCGUCGUCGUGUUUGGGUGUCACGUGUUAAUCGGAAGGAUUUUCACCCAUCUGAUAGCAGUGUGAUAUGCUCAAUUCAUUUUUUGGAUGGCCAUCCAAGCAAACAAAAUCCUGAUCCAGUCUUAAAUUUGGGAUAUCAAAGAAAGGUGACACAAGGAAGAAGGACCAUUUUCCGAUACCCUCUCUCUGAUGUUUCUCGGACCCCAAGGAGCAAUCAACUGACUGAGGAGUGCCAUGCUGAAGCUGAACUGACAGAUCAACCUGUAUCUCAAGCUGAAGAGAAGGAAAAGGAGAAUGAUGACUCCAGACCAAGUGAUUGUGACUGUUGUAAACAGAAGUCUUGUUUUUGUCUUCACAGACCUAUGAUAAAAGUUCCAAACAGAACUGUAGGAGUACAGGUUCAUUUUAACAAGUCAGUAGAUCACCAUUAUGCAACCCAGCACUACACGACCAAAACAAAGAAUGUCUCUGUUCAGGUUAAUUUUCCUGCCUUUUCUGCAGACAGUAUUAAGACUGACACUGAUUCUGUGUUUUACACUGGACUUACUCUACAAGUGUUUCUGUCAAUAAUAACUUAUCUUACAUCUGUACUGCGGUCAAACAUUAAGAUGCCACUCUCAGAUCAAACACUACUCACACUUAUGAGACUUAGGCUUGGAAUUCAGUUUCAUGAUCUCGGGAGAAGAUUUUCAAUUUCCACGCAAUUAGCAAGUAAAAUUUUUGGAAUUUGUAUCUCAAUUUUAGCCAGAAAGCUAAAGGAUUGCAUUGUUUGGCUCCCAAGAGAUGUUAUUCGAUCUGCAAUGCCAAUG
This 895-nucleotide long non-coding RNA is filed under the name Haliotis rubra (blacklip abalone). RNAcentral describes it as "uncharacterized LOC124270982". Lineage: Eukaryota; Metazoa; Mollusca; Gastropoda; Lepetellida; Haliotidae. The record is from RNAcentral.